UUACACAUGCAGCAGAGAAAAGAAAAGGAGGAGGAAUUGAAAUAUCACUUCAAAUUGGAGUAAAAAACGGCGGGCAUGGCUUAUUGUUAAUUAUAUAUAUACAUAAGUGGGCUGAUUUUAGAGGGAGAUUCAAAAGAAAAAGUAGAAGAAAGGGUCGGCUGCUGCUGUUGGAGAAACACAGAAACAUGGAGAGAAAAAAAGCAGCCAACUGGGUAAACAUAUACACACACGCAGGGAGCAGUCCAGAAAUUGAAAAAAGAGACAAAAAGAGUUGACGGCUGUAAUUACACGUAUAUAUUACACAUGUACAAUGGAGGCAGAAGACACACAAAAGCCAAUAAAAAUUGGAAAAUAAAUUCACAUUCCGUCAAUUUUUGGUGAUCUCUUUCCUCUUUUAUGUAUUUAAUUCCAACAGUAGGCUAGGCUAAAUUCCUCUCAUGUAUUGGAUGAAGAUGAAAUUCGUUAUUAUUUAUUUUUAUUUCAAGACACGUAGUUUAGAUAAAUUCUUGUAAUUGUUGAUUAAUCUAGCAUGCUUAAUUUUAUUAUUUA
RNAcentral lists this long non-coding RNA (549 nucleotides) under Olea europaea (common olive). RNAcentral describes it as "long non-coding RNA (OEUR_LNC011017)". The record is from RNAcentral. Lineage: Eukaryota; Viridiplantae; Streptophyta; Magnoliopsida; Lamiales; Oleaceae.